GAUGAACGCUGGCGGCGUGCCUAAUACAUGCAAGUCGAGCGAACGGACGAGAAGCUUGCUUCUCUGAUGUUAGCGGCGGACGGGUGAGUAACACGUGGAUAACCUACCUAUAAGACUGGGAUAACUUCGGGAAACCGUAGCUAAUACCGGAUAAUAUUUUGAACCGCAUGGUUCAAAAGUGAAAGACGGUCUUGCUGUCACUUAUAGAUGGAUCCGCGCUGCAUUAGCUAGUUGGUAAGGUAACGGCUUACCAAGGCAACGAUGCAUAGCCGACCUGAGAGGGUGAUCGGCCACCCUGGAACUGGGACACGGUCCAGACUCCUACGGGAGGCAGCAGUAGGGAAUCUUCCGCAAUGGGCGAAAGCCUGACGGAGCAGCGCCGCGUGAGUGAUGAAGGUCUUCGGAUCGUAAAACUCUGUUAUUAGGGAAGAACAUAUGUGUAAGUAACUGUGCACAUCUUGACGGUACCUAAUCAGAAAGCCACGGCUAACUACGUG
This 497-nucleotide ribosomal RNA is filed under the name uncultured bacterium. RNAcentral's name for it is "partial 16S ribosomal RNA". It matches the Rfam family "Bacterial small subunit ribosomal RNA", at positions 28 to 507 of the family's 1533-position model. The record is from RNAcentral.